UUGUCUCUCUUGAGUGGAUCCUGAGUACGACGGAGCACGUGAAAUUCCGUCGGAAUCUGGGAGGACCAUCUCCUAAGGCUAAAUACUCUCUAGUGACCGAUAGUGAACCAGUACCGUGAGGGAAAGGUGAAAAGCACCCCGGAAGGGGAGUGAAAUAGAACCUGAAACCGUGUGCUUACAAGUAGUCAGAGCCCGUUAAUGGGUGAUGGCGUGCCUUUUGUAGAAUGAACCGGCGAGUUACGAUUUGAUGCAAGGUUAAGCAGUAAAUGUGGAGCCGUAGCGAAAGCGAGUCUGAAUAGGGCGUUUAGUAUUUGGUCGUAGACCCGAAACCAGGUGAUCUACCCUUGGUCAGGUUGAAGUUCAGGUAACACUGAAUGGAGGACCGAACCGACUUACGUUGAAAAGUGAGCGGAUGAACUGAGGGUAGCGGAGAAAUUCCAAUCGAACCUGGAGAUAGCUGGUUCUCUCCGAAAUAGCUUUAGGGCUAGCCUCAAGUGAUGAUUAUUGGAGGUAGAGCACUGUUUGGACGAGGGGCCCCUCUCGGGUUACCGAAUUCAGACAAACUCCGAAUGCCAAUUAAUUUAACUUGGGAGUCAGAACAUGGGUGAUAAGGU
Molecule: ribosomal RNA, 614 nt
Filed under: Staphylococcus aureus
Lineage: Bacteria; Bacillati; Bacillota; Bacilli; Caryophanales; Staphylococcaceae
Description: partial 23S ribosomal RNA
Rfam family: Bacterial large subunit ribosomal RNA
Source: RNAcentral